This 477-nucleotide ribosomal RNA is filed under the name uncultured Bacteroidota bacterium. Its description in RNAcentral is "bacterial SSU rRNA". It matches the Rfam family "Bacterial small subunit ribosomal RNA", at positions 28 to 505 of the family's 1533-position model. The record is from RNAcentral. Lineage: Bacteria; Pseudomonadati; Bacteroidota.
GAUGAACGCUAGCGGCAGGCCUAAUACAUGCAAGUCGAACGGUAAGGCCCUUUCGGGGGUACACGAGUGGCGGACGGGUGCGUAACGCGUAUGCAAUCUACCUCGAAAUGGGGGAUAGCCUGGAGAAAUUCAGAUUAAUACCCCGUAGUAUCCAGAGAUCGCAUGAUUUUUGGAUUAUAGCUCCGGCGUUUCGAGAUGAGCAUGCGUGACAUUAGCUAGUUGGUGAGGUAACUGCUCACCAAGGCUACGAUGUCUAGCUGGUCUGAGAGGAUGAUCAGCCACACUGGGACUGAGACACGGCCCAGACUCCUACGGGAGGCAGCAGUAGGGAAUAUUGGACAAUGGGGGCAACCCUGAUCCAGCCAUGCCGCGUGGAGGAAGACGGUUCUCUGAAUUGUAAACUCCUUUUAGCAGGGAAUAAACCCAUCCUAUAAGGGUGGUUGAAGGUACCUGCAGAAUAAGCACCGGCUAACUCCG